Molecule: ribosomal RNA, 253 nt
Filed under: uncultured bacterium
Lineage: Bacteria
Description: partial 16S ribosomal RNA
Rfam family: Bacterial small subunit ribosomal RNA
Source: RNAcentral
UACGUAGGGUGCGAGCGUUGUCCGGAAUUAUUGGGCGUAAAGAGCUUGUAGGCGGUUUGUCGCGUCUGCCGUGAAAAUUCGAGGCUCAACCUCGAACUUGCGGUGGGUACGGGCAGACUAGAGUGUGGUAGGGGAGACUGGAAUUCCUGGUGUAGCGGUGAAAUGCGCAGAGAUCGGGAGGAACACCCGUAGCGAAGGCGGCACUCUGGGCCGGUACUGACGCUGAGGAGCGAAAGCGUGGGGAGCAAACAGG